RNAcentral lists this transfer RNA (209 nucleotides) under Microcaldota archaeon. Its description in RNAcentral is "tRNA-Leu". The record is from RNAcentral. Lineage: Archaea; Nanobdellati; Microcaldota.
GCAGGGGUAGCAAAGCUUGGCCAAAAGCUUUUCUUUCUUUGUAAAGAAAGAAAACCUUGGAAAAGAAAGAAACUUUUCUGCUGGCUUGAUGCGAUGGGUUUAGGACCCAUUCCCUUAGGGGUUCGCCGGUUCAAACGGGCUUUUCUUUUGUAAAAGAAAAGACCCGCGGAAAAGAAAACCGCGGUUGCCUGAAAAUCCGGCCCCCUGCA